This is a long non-coding RNA of Gallus gallus (chicken), 9769 nucleotides long. RefSeq lists it as uncharacterized. The record is from RefSeq and is a predicted model, not a curated record. Lineage: Eukaryota; Metazoa; Chordata; Aves; Galliformes; Phasianidae. The transcript is spliced from 2 exons.
AAAGGAUCUGAAAAACGCAUGCAUAAAACACUACACACGAAACACUGAAGGACUGUGGCAAAGAAAUGGCUCAAAAGGUGCUAACAAUAAGAGAAAAACCUGGAGAACAACGUGCCAAAGCCCAUUCACACAAAUGCUGCCUUUUUGCAUUUACAUCUCAGCUUCUCUUUAACCGCCAUGUAGAGGAAAGACAUGGACAAAAGUACUCCGGAAAACACAGGUGCCCUGGAGAAAAUCUCAGUAAGCCUUCCUAGAUCAACUUGUGUUAACCAGCACCCUGCUCUAGACAUAUUUCAGAGUAUGCUGCUCACAGUAUAUUCGCUAAACUAAAACGCUCACUUUCACAUUCUUGCAAAGCCAAAGACACGGCAAAAACUGUGGGCUUUCUGUGCUGUUGGUUGUAUGCAUGCAAGUGGCCAAUCCCAUCCAAGGAAUGGAGACAGGUUUUACCCUUGGGAGACAUCACCCUCCAGUGCUGAUGGGAUGGGCAAGCCCAAUGGGCCUGAGGUCAUGUCCCGUGCCUGUGGUGGAGAUGAGGAACACAGACAGGAUUCUUCACUUCCUGGCCACUGCUUCCUCCUCUGGAAUACGAGUUGGCAGCCUACAGCUUGAAGACCAAAUGGAGCAUGUGGCAACCAUAACUGGGACACAAGGGCCAAAUCUCCCACUGAUUGAUGAACUUGGCACAGCCUGGGGAAAGCCAUUUUCCUUCAUAGUUUGUGCUUCCUAAAGAGGUUUUAGGGUCCUACUGGACAUAUGGCUUUGCUGGUGCUAUCCACUGGAGUCACCCAAUGGACACCAGUGCGUUUUCUGAACGUGAUAAGAAGGGAUCUAAAAUCCCUCUAGUGUCUAUGGUUGCCCAGGCUCAAAACUCAGAAGGUGCCAGUGAGUGUGCUCCUGGGGCCUUGCUUUCUGCCUGGGGAGGGAAAAACGUCAAGUGGCCUCUUCCAAGCAACAGGACACAUGAAUCACCCCCAGAAUGCCACUGGAUACAAGAGCAGUUGUUCAAUACCCGCCCGGGGGUAAAGCCUCCUUCCAACACCCCCCAUCAAUGGUUUCCAGAGGCAGUGAGUUCCAGAGAUUAGUCACGCACUGUGUCAAAAUUAUCUCCUCUCAUCAGCAACAUGUCUGCUUGUAGGGUGGGUACUUGCAUGUUCAUCAGAGAGAAAUAAAAAGCAACAGAUUUCUUAAGAGAGAAAUAGAGACGCUAUAACAACAUUCAUUCUAAUUAGUUUAAUUACUUGUCUGUGCAGCUCCCCGAAUCCUCCUCACUGGAGUGGAUUAAAGUCGCUGGAUUUAAGUAAUUUUUCAUACUGAGUCUUACCCAGCAUCAUGUGGUGGAAGGUCAAGAAAUUCACAAACACAGAACAAAAAUUAUUUGUACACAGUACCUUCAGCUACGUGGCCAAAAUCUGCAUGUGGUCACAUUUGAUUUUACAUAUUAAAACCAGAUUAUUUUGCUUGGAUAUUCAGGUAAUUUAUUAUUAUUAUUGUUAUGUUAUGAAUUAAGCAAAGGAUUCCUUGUGGGGCUGAAAGUGGUACUCUUCGCUCAAGCAACUUCUAGAAACUAUUUCCCAGUUGUGCAGAUUAAACCCCUACAGCAAUGUCUGGUCCUCUUUCUACCUCUUUCUACCUCAUGGUCACCUAGGCAGUUAUGUAUUGUAUACAUUAUUAUAGAUUUCAUAUAUUAUUGUGCAUUCUUUUUGUUCAGACUUAAGAGGGACACCAUCAGUUAAAUGUCUGCAGAGCAGGAAGAAAACAGGCUAUUAGAGAAUCAAAGCAUUUAGUUUCUUUACACACUUGCAAAACUUAAGUGGCAACGCAGAAGUUUUCCUGCUUCAGGACUUCUCACACUGCUAGUCUCCUUCAGCAGUCAAUCCUGCCCUGGGAAUCACAGUACCCAGCCAAGCACCAAAAUUUUCAAGUAAAAUUAAGGCACUCACAAACACUUCUGCCAGUGAAUUGCAAAGGGAAAACAAAAAUCACAUGCGCAUACUGGGUGUUCCUCUUGCAAGACUUCAGGACAGAAAUGAGCUCUAAUGUUAUUAAAAAGAAAGCUUUAAUUUAUCAAAAAGCAGUCCCUAAAUCCCACUUCUGGCACAGGCAGCACACAUCACAGCACAAAAGGGAGAAGUGCCCAGAGGACCUGACAGAGGGGAAGGAAUGUGGGCUGAGGGCAGGAGACGGACGGUGACCAUUCCUCAGCUGGGUUUAGAUUUACGUUUGAGGGAGAGAGAAAGGAGAAGUCUGGGUACCAACCAGGGUGCUGAGUCUGAAUGACAGACGCUGACUUACUGGAUGUUUGGCCAACACUAUUUGUCCGACACGUGGAGCAUCCCUUGGAUCAGCCUCAUCCAACACAGCAGCAGCACUGAAGGAGUCUACGGAGUUCCCAGAAGAGAGGAAGGAGCUCAACGAGGAACACACAACAUUAGUAACCUGCGUGUCUAUAGCUGCACACCUCCCCCUUUGACUCAUUCAAGAUGUGGUAGAAAAACGCAGAUGGUUUGUGAUUUAUAAUGCUGGUGACUCACUGCACCUCUUCCCUUUUCCCCCACCCCCAAGGGCUUCUCUGUGUAUCUUCACGUUCCCAGAUGAGGAGAUCAGAGGAGAAAAUGCUAUAAACAGACUGAUGUAACAUCUCCUUCCCACAGAAUGACUCUAACCUUGCCCCCUACACCAUGCCAUUCUUCUCUCCUGCUCACACUUCCACUUCCACUUGCCUAUGCUCUGUUGAACCCAAUGGCUAUCACUUCAUGCCUUUCAGAUUGACACUGCAGUCUGAACCUUGGCACUACCACAAAAGGCUUCAGAACAGUUUCCCAUUUUAUAACAUCAGGUCUUGCUUAUAAUCGUAACACCUAAAAAUAUUCACCAUCCAAAGGGAAAGUCCUGAGUUACGAUGUCAUAAGCUACCAUCGUGUUUGAAGUAUGAAGUGUAUCAAAGACUUGCACAGUGAUGAACAGAAAUGUUUCACCUUGUGAUUUCCAGAAGCAGGAACUUCAACCACCCCAGAAACUGCCAGCCAGGUGUUCACAGAACCUGGACACUCAGCAUCCUUCAGAUGAAGCCAGAGGAAGUCAGACCAAUCUGAUGCUCCAAACACUUCCAGAAAGCGCCAACUUUAAGCAGAUGAAGAGUCAGCUUUUGGCCUAACUCACAUGGUUGGAUACUCUAAUGAACUCAGGAGGCAAAACUCAGGUGACCCACAUUGAAAUGCCAUGUAUUGGUCUGGGAGUGCAAACAGACCCCAACACACAUGCUUCUGCCAGGUUGGCAGCUCAUGGUCACAUGAGAUCACCUGCUCACUAGCCAAGUUCAGGUGAAUGACCCUAAACUGCUGGCAGGUGAUGGAGGUGUGUUUCCCAACCUGGAUCUCUACUUAAGAGGCUUCUCAUAAAUCGUUAUACCGAUAAGGCACUUGAGACAUCUUCUUUUCCCCACUAUUGCUGGGAAAAUACAGCUUAUUGCUUAAAUCUGAUGCAACUUCUCUCCAACCAUAGCUGGUGUCCUCUCUCCAAAACAAGACAGAGACAAUAACCCAGUGUAAGAUCAGCAGGUCACUUCUCUGCCAUUCCCAGCCAUGAGAAAGGCAAUCACAGACUGGCUUAAAUUGCAAGGGACCUUAAAGAUCAUCUAGUUCCAAGCCCCCUGCUGUGUAUCUUGGUGUACAGAAGGCUCACUCUCAUCCUGUCACAUCUUAAAUUUUCUAGUGCUCUACCUGUUUAAAGGAUUGAUUGUUUCAAGAGAGGACUCACUUAACACCAUGAUAAAAUGUAGUUCCUCUUUUGGAGGUUUUUCUUCUCAAAAAGGAAUCAUGUGAUGUCCACUGUGUAAAACAGGUAGCUUUCCUAGGUUCUUUCCCCUCAUGCAGGAGUCUGCCUUGGGUAGUUAAUGACCUACGGUGCUCAGAGGAUCCAUCAGCCCACUGUCUGAUGGCCUUACAGCUGUUGAGGCAGAAUCCUCACACUAGGGCUGUGAAUUAAGGCAGCACCAUUAUCCCAAUUGCUCAGAUGGGCAAUUAAGACAUGAAGACAUUGUGGCUGAGGCUUCACUGAAUGGCCAAGCUAAUUUACCGCCUGAUGCUGUCAAAUGUGAUGGGGCAGAGACUGCAAAAAACCAUGGCCUACCCAGGAGCACAUGGGAAGUAAGCAAGGCUGGAAAUCAUACCCAGUAUGUCUGUGCUCCAGGCUACUGUUCCAUCCUUCUGUAAAUUCAGAUCUUCCUGACUCACAAGUUAAAGACAUUUAACAGCCUAUGCAGAAGGAGCUGGGACUCUUAGUUUAGGGCCCAGUGAACAAGUACCAAAGUCACAAAACAACCCCAACUCUCACACCCCAGCGGGCUCAUGGCAGGAAGCAAACGUCUGAAGAUCAAAGGCCUGACCUAUCUGCCUUCCCUUAGAAACCACUCAGCAGGCCCAACAGCACAGACACCCGGCUCUGCAUGCAGGCUGCAGAGAAGCCCUCUGCUUCUGAUGGUGCCAAGCCUCCCUCAGUCCUUACACAAGCUGAAAGUGUAGAGGAAGUUCUUCUGCAGCUGCAGAAACACGCAGCUAUCCAGGCUGCAACAGUUCCUCCUGGUCUUCCUUUGCUUGAACGUUACAGCUUGCACUUUUCCUUUUUCUUUUUUGGCCAAAUUCUGGAAAAUCCAAUAUUAUAGGGGGCUGUUGCACGUGACAAAGACCUUCUCAUGACAACAUCUCAUUCAAUAUACUUGCUCUCUCUUGAUGGUUCUGGAAGCCCUGAAAAUCCUGAAGCUGACCCACGCCCACCCCGACACCUUUCAGUCAAGGUCAGCCUUUCUCCUCCUAUUGGUAAUACAAACUCAGUGUUCCUAGUGUGCAUCACAUUAUCCUUUAAUCAGUUCCUUGGUCAGCUCUGAGGUCAAAAACUGAAGGAGUGACCCUCUAUAAGAUGCUCAGCCACUGUUUUCCAUCACCAUUAUCACACACCAUGCCUGCUGAAGUUGUCUUAUUAUACCUGCUGUCUUGUUGAAGUUGUUUUAUUAUACCUCUGUCCUUCAUCUCCUGCAGUUCCCAUUUAGAUCACUUCUGCACAUCAUUUCCACCUUACUGGCUUCCAUUCUUAUCUCAGCACUUUGUUUUCAACACGGAUUCAAUUAUCCCACCCAAAACUCAUACCACACAAAACACUUUGCUUUAGUAUAAUCCUAUGGACAGUGUAAUAGAGGCAGAGGACCUACAACACCUUCAGCAGAAGAGGUAAAGAGACACUAAAUAGAAGACUUGCAAACAUUUGCGUGUAUCCUCUCCACAGCAGGCCACAAAAGUAUUUCCCUCAGUUUACUGGGGUUUAGGGCAGCUAACACAAAACCAAAAGCCACCAAACACCGUCUAUCAUCAGAAGCCAGCUGAAGCAUCACUGAUGCCCCCGAUGUCUACUCCAUCUAAAGCCUGAAAUUAAUAAUUAUUAAUAAUUGUAAAAUAAUCUUAAGUUAUUCAUGAAGUAACACAUUCUUGUUCUGUACCACUGUUCGAACUUGUCAUCCAACUAAUAUGCUAAUAUGCAACUAAUAACCUUGUAAUAAAGAUGAAUAUUUAUUUUCUUGAGGAUAAUCGCAGAUUAUACAUACAACUCUUCUGAGAAUACCCAAGAACAGACUUAAAAGCCUUUCAAACCCAUGCCUGCUGAUGGGGAAUGGGCCUGCCUGCACCCUUUGCUGCUCAGAUCUGUCAUAGGGCAGAGCCACUGCCCUCUGCACACUGCAACGCUUUGCUGUUGGGAGCACUUGGCAGGGCCACAAAGGACCUUUGUUCACGCCAGGCCCUGGGUGCACAAUGCAAUCCUUCCCCCUUGUCACACACUGCUGGGUUUCCAUGGCCGGGUCAGAAGCGCUCCCCCCACUGCACUGUCACCUCCCGCUUUCCAUGGCAGCGCUGCAGAACGGAGGGGAAAGAGGGGAGUCGGGCACUGCUUUUUGGGGCAUGGAUUCUGCAAACUCCAACUGAGCAGCACACGAUAGAUCUGUGAGUGCCGGAGCUCUGCCCUCAGUUUCUUCUUCACAGGACUUUUGCUACCAGGCUGCAGCAAAACCACCUGAGUAAGACUCUCUGAUUUCCAGGUACAUUCUUGUCCUUCAGAGGCCAGGAACAUGGCCGUGUUAAUGGCAGAUAAAUUGAGCUAACGUGAUUCCUCUGUGUCACAUCUCUCCAUUUGCAUCAAAUCUGCCAGCCCGUGUGUAUGUGUGUGUGUAUGUGUGUGUGUGUGCCAGUGCAGUGGGGCUCAGAAUGCAGCCCUGAAUGCAGAGAGGGCAAGAAGUGUCCCAGGGUUGAGGAUGGGAGCUCCAGGAAAAGAUGCCAAGGUGGGGCAGGGAAGGACGAGCACAGCCUGAGAUGAUGCUGCUGGGAAGGAGUGGGAUUUUGCAGCAUGGGAGUGUCUCUAUGUUUUAAUUUCACUGUGAAAUACAAAGAAGAGAUGAUUGCUGGAUCACUCACAAAUCAUUUAAAACGCGUUCAAAAGAAACAGUGCUUCUUUUUGAAAAAAGCAGAAGGGAGUGAAAGGCAUCUCUGGAAGGAAAUGAAGUUCCAAAAGAUCUGAUCGUGUUCUGAACACAGUCAAGAGACACACCUGGAAAUAGGAUCAGACUGCAUCAUCCACACCUUCACAGACUUCUGCCACAGAGAGAGCCACAGAGAAGGACACGCUUUGUUUCUUCCAUUUCUCAUUUCAAACAUCACAGGAUUCAGAACAAACCAGUCCCUAUUUCCAAACCCAGCUCUGAUUUGGAACAGCCAAAGUUCAGAUGCUUUGGCAUCUGCCUGGAACGCCCCUUACACUCCCAAACCACAGAGGGACAAUAUUUCACCCAGACAGAUUACUACCGUGCCAAGGAAUAAACUGUCAAUGACAACAAGAAGAAAGAAUUGGCAAAACCUCCCAUUCAUUUCUUCCUUACCAGUGUAAACGUUUGCCAUCAGGACACCUUAAGCAUGAUGAAGCGUACUUGACAGUUACCUCCUCCUGUCUCCUCCCACACGCUUUAAUUCCACAUACUCACUGCUUCCUGCAUGGACUCAUUACAAGUAUUGGCCUUUCUGUCUCCCUGGAUCCCCCUUGGGCUGCUUCAUAGCACGUCCAGAUGAACAAACUGUAACAAUGGUUCUUGAGCAAUACUUCAGAAAUGCAGAAGAGCAGAAGAAGGGAGCCGCGCAUUACAGCGACAUCUUACUGAGGAAUAUCUGUCUAAAUCCUUUUAUUUUUUUUCAACUGGGCUUCUUCUUCUCCUGUUUCUGGUGAGUAGGAGGGAUCUCGGUUGAAAAAAAUCCAGGCUGGUUUAUGCACAUGAAAAACAUCUCCCUGGGGGAAUGUGUCUCAGUCGCCUCUUACAAGGUCAAUUGAUUAUUUCACGUCGCCUUUUGGCAUGUCAGAAGUCUCCUGUUGAGCAAUUCCGCUGCACUAAAAAGUAUCUGAAGAACUUAUUUUUGAGUAGUUUCUUACACAUAAUCGAUUCUCCCCAAAAGCAAGAAAAUCUAACCACCGUUCUCCAAAAAGAUGACAGCAGAAUGUAAUGCAAAGAAGCCAUAGGAAGGCAGAAGCACAAAACCAGGAACCAACUCGGAAGGCACUCCUGCUGCUCUCCACACCGCCAGAAGGAAAGCAACCCAAGCUUGAGUCUGUAACAUCCCAUAAGCCUCAUUAGUUCAGUUUUCUUCUCUUUUUGUACAAUUCAAGCUUCUUUCCAACCCCACCUCCACUUCUUGCUUUAAUCCCGAAGCUCUCCCUCGCCUGCCUCACUCACGGAUUAUCUUCUUGCUAAAAUUUUCAAACAAGGCCAAAGAGAAGUCAGAAGGAAAGCAUUAACCCAUGCCCACGUCCCACGCCAAGUGCAGGCUCCGGCCCUGUCUGCAGAGGGAUGGUGUGACAGAAGUGCUAAGUCUCACUGUUUCAAAUAAAAAGACCGGUGAUUUGGGCAGCUCUUGCUUGCCUCUGCAGCCAAAUGGAGAUGGAAACUCAGCAAAACCCUGAGCACAACCAUCAUGGAAAGCGUUCAGCAACAGCUCAUGAAGCGCUCAUUCCGUAAGAACCCCAAACUGGAGCGCUAUUGCAUGGUGCUGGCACUGAAAUAAUCUCCACUCAGCCCAUGCAUGCUAACAGCAAAGUUCUGCAAGAAGUUCAGGCUCACGUCUCCUCUGACACAGUAUGUUACUAAUCCACAGUGCUGCCUACCAGGGCCACGGAGCGUGAAAAGCAGGAAAACAGCCAGAAACAGGUCUGCAGCAAAGCAACCAGAGCAUGCACUCAUUCCCAAUGACUUCAGCAAACACUCCUCCCUCCUUUCCUGUGUGCUGAAAAUAGGCUCCAACCAACCAGUCACUGACAUUCAGCAAGAUGCUGAUGUUCAGGAUUUGUUUGCCAAAACACAUGUGCUCCUUCAAGGGAGGAAGGAGAGUAAAAAGAUCCUUAACUGUAUGAUUUCAAAGCCACUGAUUUUGUGACCUGCUUGUGUUCACUGAGUUCAUCUCCCAGUUUUACAAUGUUUGUGAAAACUUCUCUCUUUAAAGCAACCAACCAACAAAAACCCUGCUCUGAGAUUGGUGCAAUGUGGCAGUUCUUGCCAUGGCAACCCAUCAGCUCUAAGUGUGCAUUUCUGGAUGGACCUCACUGCAAAACGAAGCAGGGCAGGGAAAGAGCAUGCAAAAAAAUCUCUGGUGGUUGAGGCCAGCCUGGCAAUCCCACCACCAGGACAUGCAGGGAAAGAACCUCAGCUCAAACCAUUGAACACCUGCUUGGUCAUUUGCAGGUUGGUUGAUCUGCUUGUUUUGUAAAGCAUGGUCCAUGCAUUUUGUUUCCCAAACAGCAUGGAAAACUACCUUUGCAGCACCAAAAGGGAGCAGAAUUAAGGAAACUGGACCAUGCUCCCAGAUGGUCUACAUAUACCAUAUGAAGUGCAAUAUCUCCAGCCUGAGGACACAGCCCAGCUCCCUUGGUGCUUCCAAAGAUACCACUGGAUGUGUUGCACUACUAGCACCGACCUGCUGUGGCUUCAGCACCCAUUAAACACUCGCUAUGCUUUCAAGCUUGUCUUCACAACCACAAGUCUUUCUCUGACACAGCCCCCUCUCCCUAACCCUUUAAUGAGUAGUUUAGGAAUUCAGCACCCUGACAUGCUGGCAGGAGCUGAGACCUCCAGGCACACCUCAUCUUAGGAUAUUCUUCAAUCUAGCUAUCUAGCCAAAUCCAUUGUGUAACUGCUCAGGAUCCAAAGCUGGCACUCAAGCCAACUUUUUCCUCCCUCCCAACAGCAUUCCCUCUCUAUCUUAUCACCUGCAAGACUCUGCCCUAAGUGCUCAGAUUACCCAGGCUGGAGCUAUCUAGAGUUAUUUCUCCUGAGGCUUUAUGUGAAAGUUUAGUUGCACAACAGUUUCUGAGGUUUAGGGAAAACUAUGUUCCACGGCUGAAAAAAAGGCAAGAGCUGAUGCUGUUAUCCGAAAUCACCCAACCCCAAAAACCAAAUAAAGUGGGAAGAGAAGAAGCAAUAGUCCAGUGCUUAAGGUUGGGUCUGACAAAGAUUUGAAACCACAUCUCCAAGGAGUGUUCAAAGCAUUAUCUCAAUCAAAAUUCCUUUCCAUGAUUUCUUUUUCUCAUGGAAGGGUCACUGGAACAGGUUGCCCAGAGAAGUUGUGGAUGCCCCAUCAUUGGAAGUGUUCAAGACCAGGCUGGAUGUGGCCUUGAGCAACCUGGUCUGGUGAAAGAAGUCCUUGCCUGCAGCUGCGGGAACUAGGUGGUCAUUAAAGUCCCUUUCAAC